UGGUCAAGUUAUUAAGGGUGCAGGGCGGAUGCCUUGGCACUAGGAGCCGAUGAAGGACGUGAUAAGCUGCGAUAAGCUUCGGGGAGUUGCACGUAAACUUUGAUCCGAAGAUUUCCGAAUGAGGAAACUCACUUAGAGUAAUGUCUAAGUAUCAUUAAGUGAAUACAUAGCUUAAUGAGGGGAACUCAGGGAACUGAAACAUCUAAGUACCUGAAGGAAGAGAAAGAAAUUCGAUUCCGUAAGUAGCGGCGAGCGAACGCGGAUUAGCCCAAACCAAUAAAGUUUUCUUUAUUGGGGUUGCGGACAUAUCAUAACGAAGAGGUAUCGUAAUUGAAGAGGUUUGGAAAGACCC
RNAcentral lists this ribosomal RNA (352 nucleotides) under Clostridioides difficile. RNAcentral describes it as "partial 23S ribosomal RNA". It matches the Rfam family "Bacterial large subunit ribosomal RNA", at positions 1 to 353 of the family's 2925-position model. Lineage: Bacteria; Bacillati; Bacillota; Clostridia; Peptostreptococcales; Peptostreptococcaceae. The record is from RNAcentral.